This is an RNA transcript of Betta splendens (Siamese fighting fish), 1606 nucleotides long. It is a transcript of the gene named polymeric immunoglobulin receptor, with no coding region annotated. The transcript is spliced from 8 exons. NCBI's taxonomy places the organism in Eukaryota, Metazoa, Chordata, Actinopteri, Anabantiformes, Osphronemidae. The record is from RefSeq and is a predicted model, not a curated record.
GCAAUCAAACUUUCGGUCACAUGACCAGGAGGAAGUUGGUGUCUGUGUUAACAAGGGAAAGAACCCACUUGCUAAACCUCAGACUCACGCUGAAAUAUGCUGCAAAUCUUCAUCCUCAGCGUGCUUCCAUGGAUCACAGCCGUCCUCUGUGGGCUGACAACGGAGAAGCAGUUUGACAUCCUGGAGGGUCGAUCCCUCACCAUCCCGUGCCAUUAUGAGCCUCAGUACGCCAGCUAUGUAAAAUACUGGUGUCGAGGGAAGAUGAGAGAGUUCUGCACCAGCUUAACUCGCACCGAUGACCCUCACACAAGCAACGCUGCUGUGGACAAAGUGAGCAUCGUCGAUGACCCAGUACAGCUGGUGUUCACGGUGGUCAUGAAUGACCUGAAGGAGGAUGAUUCUGGCUGGUACAUGUGUGGUAUGGAGGUGGGGGGGUUGUGGAGCGCUGACGUUAGUGCCUACACUUACAUCAGUGUCAUUCAUGGUAUGUUAGUCAACAGCCCACUGAUUGGAGAGGAGGGGAGCAGUGUCAAAGCUGAAUGCCUCUACAGCAAGAGAUUCAGGGAAAGUGAGAAGAAGUGGUGUCGGAAAGACGACUUGGGCUCGUGUGUGUCGACAGGCUCUGAGAGGAGCCGUGAAGACACUUCAGUGAGCAUCAGUGAUGACAGAACUGGGGCUUUCUCCGUGACCUUGAAGAAGCUACAGAUGAACGACACCGGCUGGUACUGGUGUUCCGCAGGACAGGAGAAAAAGUUUGUGCACCUGCUGGUCACAUCGCGACCCACAACUGCUUCUGUGACGUCCCCACCUCCACCGAGUCAGGAUGAUGCACACCAGUCCGUCACUGGUGAACUGUGGAGCAUGCACAGCCACAUCCUAGGGGCUCUGCUGGUCUGUUUUUCUGUCAUGUUUCUGGUGGGCCUGGCUAUACUGGCAAGGAGGCUGUGGAUAAUGCAAACGUUGCAGAAGUGGGGUUGGCCCAGAAAGCCCAGAGGACUUUGGACCUACGGCUGCUGCAGACAGAGUUUGUCUUCUUAAUGAGAUAAUACAAUGGUGAGGACAGAAAACUGAAGUAAAGCCAGACGAGCAGAGUGAGGAAAAGUCCGAUGUUGCUGCUUGUCCCAGUGAAGACAGCAACACCAGCAUGACAUCGGCUGAUUCUGUCCCAAUGAUGGAUGGAGCUACACCUAACAUGAAGCUGGAGCAACUAAGUCCAAGGACAUAAAGAGUGGAUCCAAAGACCAGUAGCAGUGAUAUAUACCCCCACCUCCAUUCAUAACUGAUCUCUCACAGACGACCACCUCUGCCUUCAGGCUCUGUUUAAAUCAGGGGUCAUGGACAUUGUGUACAUAAUCACACUGACAUCAAAAAAACUGUUUAAUUCCAUGAUUUUUAAAAAAAUACAAUUUAAAGACAAAAUGAAAAAUAAGCAAAGCAACAAACUCUUUCCACAGUCUUUGAAGAGCCAGAAUCAGAGACACUGUACCUCUGUCUCCCAGCGUCACCAAGUGCAACACAUAUUCCUUUUGACAUUUUUGAAUUUUUGAGAUUAUUUGUACAUUGUGUGACACUAAUACUGAAACAGCGGCAUGUCUUUCCUUUUUGC